CGGGGAAACAGGAAGUGGAGAAAAAAUAAAAGCAUGUGGGAGGAAGGUUAUAAACUGUUGAGAGGGAUACAACUUAUUAUUUUAUCUUUUUGGAUGUUUAAUUUAUAAGUACAGACAAAAAAACAUCCUUCCGUUUUGGAGUGGUUUGCAAACACACUGAGAUUUAAAGAAGUAGAGGAAAUAAUCUGACUUGUUCAGUGUCAGGAAGUCGUAUUGACAGCACGCUGUCAGAUCAAGCUUUGAUUUCUUUCCUGCAGAUGUGUGCCAUGAUGCCUGUAGCCAAAGCAUCCCCCAUCACGUUCACCAUGGUGCGGAAUCUGUCUCUGCCGGGAGAAGAGGACAGUUCACAGAAGAGGCUCAGCGUGGAUGGAAACACAUGUCAGCUGUCGUUUUAUGAAGCCAGUUACGUUAAAACCUUGUGACAGUGGCAAUUUGUGAAAGGUGCACAAUCCUCCUGCACUUUCUUCUGAUCUAUUACUAUUACCAUUUUUUUUUUUUUUUAGUUUAUCACAGCCUGUUCUCUGCUCAACUGUUGCACUUUGCCCUCUUCAGUGAGUGAAAGACUGACAGAGAAACGGAGAAGAGAGUGAAAUACUGAAAAUAUCAGACAUCCAAGAGAGAAGAUAUCAUGUUUCCUACGGUUUUAAAGGACAGGGACAUGCAAGAAGUUAAAUCUGCUUCACCUGUUGUUAUCCAGAUGCUGGUAAAUAUCAGUUUAUUGCAAAUAUUCAUGCAAGUUCAUGACAGAAAGGAAUUAUUCUGCAUUGCCUUGUACUGUAAAGUACAAUUAAAAGUAUUUAACAUAAAGAGACCAUCAGAUCCAUCUUUGUGUCCUCACUGUGCGUCUGUUUCAAGU
Acanthopagrus latus (yellowfin seabream) is the source of this 856-nucleotide long non-coding RNA. RefSeq lists it as uncharacterized. Lineage: Eukaryota; Metazoa; Chordata; Actinopteri; Spariformes; Sparidae. The record is from RefSeq and is a predicted model, not a curated record. The transcript is spliced from 4 exons.